CAAGCAGUGGGAGCCGACUUGUUCGGUGACUGCGUACCUUUUGUAUAAUGGGUCAGCGACUUACAUUCAGUAGCAAGGUUAACCGCAUAGGGGAGCCGUAGAGAAAUCGAGUCUUAAUAGGGCGUUUAGUUGCUGGGUGUAGACCCGAAACCGGGUGAUCUAUCCAUGAGCAGGUUGAAGGUUGGGUAACACUAACUGGAGGACCGAACCCACUGUCUUUGAAAAGCCAGGGGAUGACUUGUGGAUAGGGGUGAAAGGCUAAUCAAACUCGGUGAUAGCUGGUUCUCCCCGAAAGCUAUUUAGGUAGCGCCUCGGACGAAUACCAUUGGGGGUAGAGCACUGUUUCGGCUAGGGGGUCAUCCCGACUUACCAAACCGAUGCAAACUCCGAAUACCUACAAGUGCCGAGCAUGGGAGACACACGGCGGGUGCUAACGUCCGUCGUGAAAAGGGAAACAACCCAGACCGUCAGCUAAGGUCCCAAAGUUAUGGUUAAGUGGGAAACGAUGUGGGAAGGCUUAGACAGCUAGGAGGUUGGCUUAGAAGCAGCCAUCCUUUAAAGAAAGCGUAAUAGCUCACUGAUCGAGUCGUCCUGCGCGGAAGAUGUAACGGGGCUAAGC
RNAcentral lists this ribosomal RNA (619 nucleotides) under Anophryoides haemophila. RNAcentral's name for it is "partial Bacterial large subunit ribosomal RNA". It matches the Rfam family "Bacterial large subunit ribosomal RNA", at positions 567 to 1187 of the family's 2925-position model. Lineage: Eukaryota; Ciliophora; Oligohymenophorea; Philasterida; Glauconematidae. The record is from RNAcentral.